RNAcentral lists this ribosomal RNA (91 nucleotides) under Salvator merianae (Argentine black and white tegu). Lineage: Eukaryota; Metazoa; Chordata; Lepidosauria; Squamata; Teiidae. The record is from RNAcentral.
CUAGCUCGCCAUGGCUAUCUCAAAAGCAGGGACAACCCUAGUUAGUAUUUGAAUGGGAGACCACAAGGAAAUUGCAGAGCUGUAGGUUAGA